RNAcentral lists this ribosomal RNA (371 nucleotides) under uncultured organism. RNAcentral's name for it is "partial 16S ribosomal RNA". It matches the Rfam family "Bacterial small subunit ribosomal RNA", at positions 527 to 896 of the family's 1533-position model. The record is from RNAcentral.
AGAGAGUGCAAGCGUUAAUCGGAAUUACUGGGCGUAAAGCGCGCGUAGGUGGAUAUUUAAGUCGGAUGUGAAAGCCCUGGGCUUAACCUGGGAAUUGCACCCGAUACUGGGUAUCUAGAGUAUGGUAGAGGGUAGUGGAAUUUCCGGUGUAGCGGUGAAAUGCGUAGAUAUCGGAAAGAACACCAGUGGCGAAGGCGGCUACCUGGACCAAUACUGACACUGAGGUGCGAAAGCGUGGGGAGCAAACAGGGAUUAGAGACCCUGGUAGUCCACGCCGUCAACGAUGAGAACUAGCUGUUGGGAGGUUUACCUCUUAGUAGCGAAGCUAACGCGUUAAGUUCUCCGCCUGGGGGAGUACGGUCGCAAGAUUA